CACUUUUUUGUGCGCAUGCUCGGCAAGUUACUAUAGAUGCAUGCAUCUGAUUGGAUGACGACCUGAUGACGACUCACUUUAAACUUGCUGAGCACGCGCAGUUGAUCAUUUUUCGCCCGGUCGCCUGAAAAAAGUGGGUACAUGAUAACGUAAUCUUCCGCAGUGUUUACAACGGUCAGUUACGUCUCUGUAUGUCUUAUCUACUCUGUGUCC
This 213-nucleotide long non-coding RNA is filed under the name Paramuricea clavata. Lineage: Eukaryota; Metazoa; Cnidaria; Anthozoa; Malacalcyonacea; Plexauridae. The record is from RNAcentral.